RNAcentral lists this ribosomal RNA (399 nucleotides) under Triticum aestivum (bread wheat). RNAcentral's name for it is "partial small subunit ribosomal RNA". Lineage: Eukaryota; Viridiplantae; Streptophyta; Magnoliopsida; Poales; Poaceae. The record is from RNAcentral.
AUGGCCCUCUUUGAGGAGUUCUAUGUUGGUUCCAUCGAUCUUACCAGGCUGAACUUUGGGAUUAUCACCCUCAUUCCCAAAGUAACUGGAGCUUCGGAUAUUCGCCAGUUCCGACCGAUUACGGUGAUCAAUGUCAUCUUCCGCAUCCUUGCGAAGGGGUACGCCAUUAGGGAGGCCCCAAUAGUGGACCGGAUCACACACCCGGAUCGGUCGGCAUUCAUCUAGGGCCGGUAUAUCCUUGAUGGAGUCCUAGUGUUUCACGAAGCACUCCAUGAGGUGCACACCAAACACCUCAAGGCAGUUUUCCUGAAAUUAGACUUCCACAAGGCAUCGACACGGUCAGUUGGCCCUUCCUUCGGGAAUGCUUGCUCCGGAAGGGAUUCGAAGAUCGCUGGGUGA